UACGGAGGGUGCAAGCGUUGUCCGGAUUUAUUGGGUUUAAAGGGUGCGUAGGCGGUUCUUUAAGUCUGGGGUGAAAGCCCGUUGCUCAACAACGGAACUGCCCUGGAAACUGGAGGACUUGAGUACAGACGAGGGUGGCGGAAUGGAUACUGUAGCGGUGAAAUGCAUAGAUAGUAUCCAGAACCCCGAUUGCGAAGGCAGCUGCCUAGACUGUAACUGACGCUGAGGCACGAAAGCGUGGGGAGCGAACAGG
RNAcentral lists this ribosomal RNA (253 nucleotides) under uncultured bacterium. RNAcentral's name for it is "partial 16S ribosomal RNA". It matches the Rfam family "Bacterial small subunit ribosomal RNA", at positions 524 to 776 of the family's 1533-position model. The record is from RNAcentral.